Molecule: ribosomal RNA, 451 nt
Filed under: uncultured bacterium
Lineage: Bacteria
Description: bacterial SSU rRNA
Rfam family: Bacterial small subunit ribosomal RNA
Source: RNAcentral
GAUGAACGCUGGCGGCAGGCCUAACACAUGCAAGUCGAACGGUAGCACAGGAGAGCUUGCUCUCUGGGUGACGAGUGGCGGACGGGUGAGUAAUGCAUGGGGAGCUGCCCAAUCGAGGGGGAUACCAGCUGGAAACGGCUGCUAAUACCGCAUAAGCCCUGAGGGGGAAAGAUUUAUCGCCGAUGGAGCGACCCGCGUCAGAUUAGGUAGUUGGUAGGGUAAAGGCCUACCAAGCCGACGAUCUGUAGCUGUUCUUAGAGGAAGAUCAGCCACACUGGAACUGAGACACGGUCCAGACUCCUACGGGAGGCAGCAGUGGGGAAUAUUGGACAAUGGGGGAAACCCUGAUCCAGCAAUGCCGCGUGAGUGAAGAAGGCCUUCGGGUUGUAAAGCUCUUUUAGAUGAGACGAUGAUGACGGUAUCAUCAGAAAAAGCACCGGCUAACUCUGUG